UACAGAGGUCCCAAGCGUUGUUCGGAUUCACUGGGCGUAAAGGGUGCGUAGGUGGUGAGGUAAGUCGGAUGUGAAAGCUCGGAGCUCAACUCCGAAAUGGCAUUGGAAACUACCUUGCUCGAGGGUUGGAGGGGGACUGGAAUGCUUGGUGUAGCAGUGAAAAUGCGUAGAUAUGCGGAGGAACACCCGAUGGCGAAGGCAGCCCUCCUGGGAUAACACUGACGCUCAUGCACGAAAGCGUGGGG
Molecule: ribosomal RNA, 245 nt
Filed under: uncultured bacterium
Lineage: Bacteria
Description: partial 16S ribosomal RNA
Rfam family: Bacterial small subunit ribosomal RNA
Source: RNAcentral